GGUUUGGUGGUCAUAGCGCGAGCAAAACACCCGGAUCCAUUCCGAACCCGGCCGUUAAGUGCCGCUGCGCCAAUGGUACUGCGUCUCAAGACGUGGGAGAGUAGGGCACCGCCAAACCU
RNAcentral lists this ribosomal RNA (119 nucleotides) under Donghicola sp. S598. Lineage: Bacteria; Pseudomonadati; Pseudomonadota; Alphaproteobacteria; Rhodobacterales; Roseobacteraceae. The record is from RNAcentral.